This is a long non-coding RNA of Magnolia sinica, 1083 nucleotides long. RefSeq lists it as uncharacterized. The transcript has 3 exons. The record is from RefSeq and is a predicted model, not a curated record. Lineage: Eukaryota; Viridiplantae; Streptophyta; Magnoliopsida; Magnoliales; Magnoliaceae.
AUUCUUUCCCUCCCCUCUUUGGGGAAAAACCCCAUUCCCUCCCACGUCCGUCCCUUUCUCUCUCACUCUCGAUCUCCCGCGCCUCUUCUCUCUCUCUCUCUCUCUCUCUCUCUCUCUCUCUCUCUCUCUCUCUCUUCCAGCCCCAUUUCAACCAUAUCUCCCUGUCUCUCUCCCGCAUUUUUCUAGGGUUCCAUUUUCAAAACCCUGAUUGCCCAAUUCCAGCUCUCUCGUUUCUCCCACUCCAUUCCAUAUCUAGGGUUUCUUUUAGAAAUGACAUUCAACUAACAGUCCAUGGAAUCGCAUCGGUAGCCGUCCCACGAAAGAUGACAGAAAAAGAAGAGCACUGCAGUGCCAACGGCGCUAGUUUCCGCAUCCUGUAGCCCAAUCGCGACCCUAAAUUGAUCUGGGUCGUUGAUCUCGCCAAGAACCUUGAUGACUAUCUUCUCAAGAUCUGUUUCAGAGAAAUCACGGCUGAAGAUGAAGGCGGCCACCCCUCCGCGAAUUUUGCCGAAGCUGCUCUGCUUAUUCAAGGUUCGAUUCAGGUGUAUAGUCGGAAAGUGGAAUAUCUAUAUUCUUUAGUUUUGCAUGCGUUGGAGUUCAUUUCUCAGAAGACAUUGGAUGGCUAAAAAAACAUCAUGGUGGUAGUCGGAAGUUAAUUUCCGAAGUAACUGAAGUUUGGAGCUCAUCUCUUUGUACCAAUGAUAGGGAAGUUAAUUUCAGUUUCCAUUAUUUCCACUCUAUUGAACUUUAGUUGUUAAAAUUUCAAAAAUUGUGGUUUUGAAUUUAAUUAGGGUGUCGGAAGGAAAAGACAAUCAGCAAUAAAACUGCAUCUAAAGAAGUCUACCUCCCAUGAAGAAAGAGAACAACAUGGUUCAUUUCUUGUUCUUUAGACCAUGAUUCAUUUUUGCAUCAUUUUGCAAAUGCUACAAUUUCAAAUCCCAUUUUUGCAUAAAAAAUCAGGAAAAAAAAUCUUCUUAAUUAGUUGAAAAUUUUCCCAUGUAUGGAAGCAUUCACAGUUAGAUAGCAAUUCCUUAAAGUGUAUAGAGUAGACCUUUCAUUAUUUCAAGUUGACUGGAAAAACAU